AGCCCAUGUGAAGCCUCUUCGACGAGUCGAGUUGUUUGGGAAUGCAGCUCAAAAUGGGUGGUAAAUUUCAUCUAAAGCUAAAUACUGGCUGGAGACCGAUAGCGCACAAGUAGAGUGAUCGAAAGAUGAAAAGCACUUUGGAAAGAGAGUCAAACAGUACGUGAAAUUGUUGAAAGGGAAGCGCUGGCAACCAGACCUGUCCGUGGGCGAUCAGCCGCUGUUCUCAGCGGUGCACUCGUUCCGCGAUCAGGCCAGCAUCGGUUUUGGCGGUCGGAUAAAGGCCCGGGGAACGUAGCUCCCUCUCGGGGGAGUGUUAUAGCCCCGGGCGCAAUGCGGCCAGCCGGGACCGAGGACCGCGCUUCGGCUAGGAUGCUGGCGUAAUGGUUGUCAGCGACCCGUCUUGAAACACGGACCAAGGAGUCUAACAUCUAUGCGAGUGUUUGGGUGUCAAACCCAUGCGCGGAAUGAAAGUGAACGGAGGUGAGAACCCUUUAGGGCGCAUCAUCGACCGAUCCAGAUGUCUUCGGAUGGAUUUGAGUAUGAGCAUAGCUGUUGGGACCCGAAAGAUGGUGAACUAUGCCUGAAUAGGGUGAAGCCAGAGGAAACUCUGGUGGAGGCUCGCAGCGGUUCUGACGUGCAAAUCGAUCGUCAAAUUUGGGUAUAGGGGCGAAAGACUAAUCGAACCA
RNAcentral lists this ribosomal RNA (686 nucleotides) under Hypotrachyna rockii. RNAcentral's name for it is "eukaryotic LSU rRNA". It matches the Rfam family "Eukaryotic large subunit ribosomal RNA", at positions 239 to 942 of the family's 3401-position model. Lineage: Eukaryota; Fungi; Ascomycota; Lecanoromycetes; Lecanorales; Parmeliaceae. The record is from RNAcentral.